AUUCCUGUAAGGCACCCGCUGAGGGCAACAGGGAAAGGGACCCCAGGCAGAGGGACUAGCGCCACCUGCUGGUAGCUGCGACAGACAGCGGGUGAGGUUAACGGACCGGGCAGUGCACAGUGCACAGCUCCCGGGAUAACGGGACAGGACACAGGACUCACUGAGGGGAAGGAGCAGCCAGGACCACGGUGACUGACAUGCCAUCAAACUGAGCAGUGCACAACACAGAGGUCAUUCCCAGCGCCCUGCCGUCCUGUCAGUCACUCAUCACCAGGUCCUUCCUUCCUGAGAAAACAGGGUUUAAUCCAAGAUGAGUCAUGCUCCACCCUCCUCCUCUCCAUCCGCGAGAAAUCUGUCACUGUCAAAGACUUUCCACAAAUGACAUCUACAAAAAGUAACUCAGGCCAACUACUGAGGUGUGUUUUAAGAAUCAUUAAAAAUCUUCUCUAUAUAAA
Molecule: long non-coding RNA, 455 nt
Organism: Ictidomys tridecemlineatus (thirteen-lined ground squirrel)
Lineage: Eukaryota; Metazoa; Chordata; Mammalia; Rodentia; Sciuridae
Source: RefSeq, a predicted model, not a curated record